RNAcentral lists this ribosomal RNA (477 nucleotides) under Eulalia mustela. RNAcentral describes it as "partial 16S ribosomal RNA". It matches the Rfam family "Bacterial large subunit ribosomal RNA", at positions 1862 to 2597 of the family's 2925-position model. The record is from RNAcentral. Lineage: Eukaryota; Metazoa; Annelida; Polychaeta; Phyllodocida; Phyllodocidae.
CCCGGUGAAAUUAUUUAACGGCCGCGGUACUCUGACCGUGCAAAGGUAGCAUAAUCAUUUGCCUCUUAAUUAGAGGCUGGAAUGAAAGGAUAUAUGAAAUUAUAGCUGUCUCUGUUUUAUUUAUUAAAAAUUGUCUUUUAGGUGAAGAGACCUAGAUUUUAAUGAAAGACAAAAAGACCCUAUUGAGCUUUAUUAUUUAUAAGUGAUUUAUAGAGUUUUUUACUUUAUUACUUGGCAUAAUUUAGUUGGGGCGACGUAGGAAUAUAUUUAAUGUAAAUCUUCCUGAAGUAUUUAGAAUUUUUGUUCUCUUAAGUGAUCUAUUUGUAUGAUAAAAAGAACUAGUUACCAUAGGGAUAACAGGCUAAUCUUUCCGGAGAGUUCAAAUUGAUGGGAAGGGUUGGCACCUCGAUGUUGGCUUAGGGUAUCCUAAAGAUGUAGCAGUCUUUGAGGGUUGGUUUGUUCAACCAUUAAAAUCCU